UUAGGCCACCUUCGAGAUUUUGCGAAAAAAUAUGGGCCAACUGGCGUGGUUGUUUAUUUGUCUGUGUAUGUCCUGACUCUGCUUGGUUGGUACA
Molecule: non-coding RNA, 94 nt
Filed under: Paramoeba aestuarina
Lineage: Eukaryota; Discosea; Flabellinia; Dactylopodida; Paramoebidae
Source: RNAcentral